CUAAAGGCUCUUUUCAGAGCCACCCACCUAUUGACCAGAAAAGAG
Non-coding RNA from Dipodomys ordii (Ord's kangaroo rat), 45 nucleotides. The record is from Rfam. NCBI's taxonomy places the organism in Eukaryota, Metazoa, Chordata, Mammalia, Rodentia, Heteromyidae.